Molecule: ribosomal RNA, 253 nt
Filed under: uncultured bacterium
Lineage: Bacteria
Description: partial 16S ribosomal RNA
Rfam family: Bacterial small subunit ribosomal RNA
Source: RNAcentral
UACGUAGGGCGCAAGCGUUAUCCGGAAUUAUUGGGCGUAAAGAGCUCGUAGGCGGUUUGUCGCGUCUGCUGUGAAAGCCCGGGGCUCAACCCCGGGUCUGCAGUGGGUACGGGCAGACUAGAGUGAUGUAGGGGAGACUGGAAUUCCUGGUGUAGCGGUGAAAUGCGCAGAUAUCAGGAGGAACACCGAUGGCGAAGGCAGGUCUCUGGGCAGUAACUGACGCUGAGGAGCGAAAGCGUGGGUAGCAAACAGG